UACGUAGGGGGCAAGCGUUGUCCGGAUUUAUUGGGCGUAAAGAGCGUGUAGGCGGCCAGGCAGGUCCGCUGUGAAAACUCGAGGCUCAACCUCGAGAGGUCGGUGGAAACCGUCUGGCUAGAGUCCGGAAGAGGAGAGUGGAAUUCCCGGUGUAGCGGUGAAAUGCGCAGAUAUCGGGAGGAACACCUGUGGCGAAAGCGGCGCACUGGACCACAACUGACGCUGAGGCGCGAAAGCUAGGGGAGCAAACAGG
This 253-nucleotide ribosomal RNA is filed under the name uncultured bacterium. RNAcentral's name for it is "partial 16S ribosomal RNA". It matches the Rfam family "Bacterial small subunit ribosomal RNA", at positions 524 to 776 of the family's 1533-position model. The record is from RNAcentral.